This 189-nucleotide ribosomal RNA is filed under the name uncultured bacterium. RNAcentral describes it as "partial 16S ribosomal RNA". It matches the Rfam family "Bacterial small subunit ribosomal RNA", at positions 338 to 524 of the family's 1533-position model. The record is from RNAcentral.
CCUACGGGAGGCAGCAGUGAGGAAUCUUGGACAAUGGGCGAAAGCCUGAUCCAGCGACGCCGCGUGAAGGAAGAAGUCCUUCGGGAUGUAAACUUCUGAAUUAGCCGAAUAAGAGGGUAGCGGAUACGCUACAGAAGAAGGUAGGCUAAGAAAAGUCCCGGCUAACUACGUGCCAGCAGCCGCGGUAAU